Molecule: ribosomal RNA, 250 nt
Filed under: uncultured bacterium
Lineage: Bacteria
Description: partial 16S ribosomal RNA
Rfam family: Bacterial small subunit ribosomal RNA
Source: RNAcentral
UACGGAGGGUGCAAGCGUUGCUCGGAAUUAUUGGGCGUAAAGGGCAAGUAGGUGGUCUCAUUUGUCUGGGGUGAAAGCCUUGAGCUUAACUCAAGAAGUGCCUCAGAAACGGUGAGACUCGAGUACUGGAGAGGGUCGUGGAAUACCCGGUGUAGCGGUGAAAUGCGUAGAGAUCGGGUGGAACACCAGAGGCGAAGGCGGCGACCUGGACAGUUACUGACACUCAACUGCGAAAGCGUGGGGAGCAAAC